GAACGACGCUGGCGGCAGGCUUAACACAUGCAAGUCGAACGGUUGUAGCAAUACAGCAGUGGCGGACGGGUGAGUAACACGUGGGAACCUUCCUAGGGGUACGGAACAACUCAGGGAAACUUGAGCUAAUACCGUAUACGUCCGUGAGGAGAAAGAUUUAUCGCCCUUAGACGGGCCCGCGUCGGAUUAGCUAGUUGGUGGGGUAACGGCCUACCAAGGCGACGAUCCGUAGCUGAUCUUAGAGGAUGAUCAGCCACACUGGGACUGAGACACGGCCCAGACUCCUACGGGAGGCAGCAGUGGGGAAUCUUGGACAAUGGGCGCAAGCCUGAUCCAGCCAUGCCGCGUGAGUGAAGAAGGUCUUCGGAUUGUAAAGCUCUUUUGCCAGGGACGAUAAUGACGGUACCUGGAGAAUAAGCCCCGGCAAACUUCGUG
RNAcentral lists this ribosomal RNA (435 nucleotides) under uncultured bacterium. RNAcentral describes it as "bacterial SSU rRNA". It matches the Rfam family "Bacterial small subunit ribosomal RNA", at positions 33 to 507 of the family's 1533-position model. The record is from RNAcentral.